This 1770-nucleotide long non-coding RNA is filed under the name Panax ginseng (ginseng). RNAcentral describes it as "long non-coding RNA (PGIN_LNC007497)". Lineage: Eukaryota; Viridiplantae; Streptophyta; Magnoliopsida; Apiales; Araliaceae. The record is from RNAcentral.
AACACCAUAGUCUCUCAACUCUGACAGAAAAUUGAAUACGUGACUUUCAGGCUAAUACGUGAUUUUCUCUCUCCAACUCUCUCACAACUGAAAGGAUUCUGGUUUCUCUCUAAGGUAUGCUUCUAAUUUCUGUUAAUUUUCAUUUUACUAAUUAAUUGUCAAUAUGAUCAUAUAUAUACACUAUGUUUCUAACAGAAUGGGGUAUUGAUUGUUUGAAUUUGUGUUGUUUUUAUGUUUUGUAUAGAAUGGUUGAUACAAAGAAGAAGGAUGGAAAGAGGAAAAGAAUCACAGAGGGUAAUUCUAUUAAGGACUUGAAGAAAUUUGUUUGGGUUUGUGGAAUUGGAUUCUGAUUUUAAUGUUCCUGUAGUUAAGACAGAAGCUCAAGUUCAUAGCCAGAAGAUAUUUCCAACCCAAAUUUUUUUAAAGGUUUGUUAAUUUAAAUUUUGUUAUUGUUACUAUCAUAUAACUGUUUGGUUACUUCUGCAUUAUGUUUUGGUUACUGUUAGCUUGUGAUUCGGAUACCAUUUUUGUUACCUUGAUUUGGUAUUUUGGUUACUUUUUUAUGUUGUUAUGGUUACCAUGUAUUUGCUUAGUAUACAUGGUUGACUAAACUGGUUUUGGUGUACAUGUUGUUUAUGUAUUGGUUAUCAUUAAAAUUUUUUUUGGUUAUUAUCAUAUAAAUAUUUGGUUACUUCUUUAGUAUGUUUUUGGUUAUUGUUAAUUUUUGAUUUGGAUUCUAUUUUUGUUUCCUUGAGUUGGGAUUUUGGUUACUGUUUUUUGUUGUUCUGAUUACCAUGUAUUUGCUUAGUAUAUAUGGGUUGACUAAACUGUGUUUGGUCUAUAUGUUGUUUAUGUAUUGAUUACCAUUAAUAUACGUUUUGGUUACUAAUAUAUAACUGUUUAGUUACUUCAUUAGUAUAUUUUUUGUUGUUGUUGGCUUAUGAUUUGGAUAUCAUUUUUUUUUCCACAAUUGGGAUUUUGGUUACUUUUAUAUAUUGUUUUGGUUCCAAUGUAUUUGCUUAGUAUACAUUGGUUGACUAAACUGGGUUUGGUAUACAUGUUGUUUAUGUGUUGGUUACCAUUAAAACAUGGUUUGGUUACUAUCAUAUAACUGUUUGGUUACUUCUUCAGUAUAUUUUUUGGUAUACAUGUUUUUAUUUUUGUGACCUUUAAAUUAUGUUUUGGUUAAUAUUAUAUACAACUAUUUGUUUACUGCAUAAUAUGGUGUGUACUACAUGUUGUUAAUAUUUUGGUCACCAUUAGAUUAUAUAAUAUAACUUUUUGGUUACUGCUUUAUUAUGGUAUGGUUAAUGUUAUAUUAUGAUAUAAUAACUAUUAUUGUGCAGUCAAUGUGGGAUGUUGGUUAUUUGUUAUAGUCUAUUUUGGCUACUGUGUAAUUGUUAUAUUAUGUUUUGGUUAGUAUGUUUUUAUUUGUUGGUCACUAUGUAACUGUUUUAUGUUAUAAAUAUUGUUUAUAUCUGGUUACUAAUGACUGUAAAUCUAAUUUUGUUUAUUUACAGUUAUGAGAUCUUUACUAUGAGGAAUGCAACAGAAAAUUCACUGGAAAAAUUAUAUAUUGGUGUGACAUGGAAGUCUCCAGCAUUAUUACCAAGAAAUUGAACCCAAGUCAGUUGGAGAAGUUUAAGGCAUCAUUAGUUUGUGGAUGUUUUAUUUUUGUAAAUAAUAAACCCAAGUCAUAAUAAACCAUGUAUUUGCUUAGUAUACAUUGAUGUAUUAUUUUUGUAAAUUCCUUCAAAUAUAUUCUACAAG